This 246-nucleotide small RNA is filed under the name Drosophila yakuba. Its description in RNAcentral is "GE28032". Lineage: Eukaryota; Metazoa; Arthropoda; Insecta; Diptera; Drosophilidae. The record is from RNAcentral.
CAAAACAAAAGCAACAGCUAAAAAAACAACAUUUGAAAAAUGCAAUGAUAAGAUUAAUAAUCUCAAGUAGCCUAAAAUUGAAUGUGUUACGCUCCCCGAACCACCGCUUAAAAUUCCUAGUCAUGGUUAAACACUAGAUUAAUCUCCAACUUGGGCAACUUGUCCACAUCAAUGCCAUCAUCAAUAGAGACUCCUGUCGCUUGGCUCAGCUCCAGCAUUUCCUUAAACUGAUAAUUGCAGGGCAAA